UACGUAGGGGCCGAGCGUUGUCCGGAGUUAUUGGGCGUAAAGCGCGCGCAGGCGGCUUGACGCGCCCGACGUGAAAGCCCCCGGCUUAACCGGGGAGGGUCGUCGGGUACGGUCAGGCUUGAGGGCGGGAGAGGGUGGUGGAAUUCCCGGUGUAGUGGUGAAAUGCGUAGAUAUCUGGAGGAACACCGGUGGCGAAGGCGGCAUCCUGGACCGGUAUUGACGCUGAGGAGCGAAAGCCAGGGGAGCAAACGGG
RNAcentral lists this ribosomal RNA (253 nucleotides) under uncultured bacterium. Its description in RNAcentral is "partial 16S ribosomal RNA". It matches the Rfam family "Bacterial small subunit ribosomal RNA", at positions 524 to 776 of the family's 1533-position model. The record is from RNAcentral.